CACGACGGAGCGCCGAGUCCUGCCAGCCGUUGAGGGGUUCGCACGUCACUACGCCUUGGCAGGAGCGGGGGACCCAUAGUGGUCUCUAAGAGGCCUUGGGGUGAAGUCGCGAACCCUUCGAUUGCGACCGGGCAUUCUCCUGCCCGAACCCGACAGCUCACCUCGCAGGCGGCUGGAGAGGUUAU
Molecule: small RNA, 185 nt
Filed under: Austwickia chelonae
Lineage: Bacteria; Bacillati; Actinomycetota; Actinomycetes; Micrococcales; Dermatophilaceae
Description: c-di-AMP sequence
Rfam family: c-di-AMP riboswitch aptamer (ydaO/yuaA leader) (bases 42-185)
About the family: This family represents a conserved RNA structure found upstream of the ydaO and yuaA genes in Bacillus subtilis and related genes in other bacteria.
Source: RNAcentral